UUUUGAAAAAAGAAAGAAAAAGGUUAAAUGUCCUACUACUGGUAAUUGUUUUUUUUUUUUUUUUUUUUUUGAGAUGGAGUUUCGUUUUUGUUGUCCGGGCUGGAGUGCAAUGGCUCGAUCUUGGCUCAACCUCCGCCUCCCAGGUUGAAGCAAUUCCCCUGCCUCAGCCUCCCGAGUAGCUGGGAUUACAGGCAUGCGCCACCACGCUCGGCUAAUUUUGUAUUUUUAGUAGAUAUGGGGUUUCUCCAUGUUGGUCAGGCUGGUGUUGAACUCCCUACCUCAGGUGAUCUGCCCACCUCCGCCUCCCAAAGUGCUGGGAGGCACUGUGGGCAAACUCCCAAAGUGGCAUGAGCCACUGCGCCCCGCCUUGCUACUGGUAAUUUUCUAGCUCUUAGUUUGGGUCAUGGGAUUGCAGGUGUCUGUCUAUUUUGUCACCGCCCUUCCUCACUUACAUAUAUGUUCCACAUGUCUUUUAGUAUAUAGUAAAUAUUACACAAUAACUUUUUAUUUUUUGAGACUGAGUUUCUCUCUAUUGCCCAGGUUGGAGUGCAGUGGCAUGAUCUCAGUUCACUGCAACCUCCACCUCCUGAGUUCAAGCGAUUCUCGUGCCUCCACGUCCCAAGUAGCUGGGAUUACAGUCACUCACCACCACACCUGGAUAAUUUUUGUAUUUUUAGUAGAGAUGGGGUGUCACCACAUUGGCCAGGUGGGCCUCGAACUCCUGACCUCAGGUGAUCUGCCUGUCUUGGCCUCCCAAAGUGGAUUACAGGCAUAAGCCACCAUGCCCGGCCACAGUAACUUUCUUUUGAGCAAAGUUAAGGAGGUAAAUUUGUUUGGAUGUUGUAAACAGAGGAAGCUGUAGCUGGUGCUCAUUCCCACACCUCUGGACCAAGGGUAGAGACUUUGUGGUCUGGGUGGAUAUGAUGACAGCAUAUCAGUUUUGACUCCUGGACCACAAGGAACUGAACUGGCCACCUGCGACUCAUCUGUUUCUAGUAGAGGUGGGUCUCGUGCAUAUGAUGGGGACAGGGGCAGUGCAGCUGUAUCCAGAGUGCGUGUCUUUUACAGCAGCCAUCCUGUCCCCAACCUUUUUGGCACCAGGGACCAGUUUUAUGGUAGACAAUUUUUCCACAGCUGGGGUUGGGGGAAUGGUUUUGGGAUGAAACUGUUCCACCUCAGAUCACCAGGCAUUGGUUAGAUUCUCAUAAGGAGCAUGUAACCUAGAUCCCUCACAUGUGCAGUUCAUAAUAGGGUCUGCAGUCCUAUGAGAAUCUAAUGCUGCAUGGAUCCGACAGGAGGCAGAGCUCAGGCAGUAAUGCUCACUCAUCUGCUGCUCACCUCCUGCUGGGUGGCCCAGUUUUUAACAGGCCACAGACUAUAUGGUUUUGUGGCCCAGGGGCUGGAAACCACUGUUUUAUAACUCUCCCUGUCUUCUCUUCACUCCUGCCGUGGCAUCCCCUUCUGUCCUAUUAAAACUGACUUUGUUGUUGUUGUUGUUAUUAUUAUUAUUAUUUUGUAUUAUUAUACGUUAAGUUCUAGGGUACAUGUGCACAACAUGCAGGUUUGUUACAUAUGUAUACAUGUGCCAUGUUGGUGUGCUGCACCCAUUAACUCGUCAUUUAACACUAGGUAUAUCUCCUAAUGCUAUCCCUCCCCCCUCCUCCCACCCCACAACAGGCCCUGGUGUGUGACGUUCCCCUUCCUGUGUCCAAGUGUUCUCAUUGUUCAAUUCCCACAUAUGAGUAAGAACAUGUGGUGUUUGGUUUUUGUCCUUGCAAUAGUUUGCUGAGAAUGAUGGUUUCCAGCUUCAUCCAUGUCCCUACAAAGGACAUGAACUCAUCCUUUUUCAGCUGCAUAGUAUUCCGUGGUGUAUAUGUGCCACAUUUUCUUAAUCCAGUCUGUCAUUGAUGGACAUUUGGGUUGGUUCUGUGAAUAGUGCCACAAUAAACAUAAAUGUGUAUGUGUCUUUAUAGCAGCAUGAUUUAUAAUCCUUUGGGUAUAUACCCAGUAAUGGGACGGCUGGGUCAAAUGGUAUUUCUAGUUCUAGAUCCUUGAGGAAUCACCACACUGUCUUUCACAAUGGUUGAACUAAUUUACAGUCCCACCAACAGUGUAAAAGUGUUCCUAUUUCUCCACAUCCUCUCCAGCACCUGUUGUUUCCUGACUUUUUAAUGAUCGCCAUUCUAACUGGUGUGAGAUGGUAUCUCACUGUGGUUUUGAUUUGCAUUUCUCUGAUGGCCAGUGAUGAUGAGCAUUUUUUCAUGUGUCUGUUGGCUGCAUAAAUGUCUUCUUUUCAGAAGUGCCUGAUCAUAUCCUUCGCCCACUUUUUGAUGGGGUUGUUUGAUUUGUUUCUUGUAAAUUUGUUUAAGUUCUUUGUAGAUUCUGGAUAUUAGCCCUUUGUCAGAUGGGUAGAUUGCAAAAAUUUUCUCCCAUUCUGUAGGUUGCCUGUUCACUCUGCUGGUAGUUUCUUUUGAUGUGCAGAAGCUCUUUAGUUUAAUUAGAUCCCAUUUGUCAAUUUUGGCUUUUGUUGCCAUUGCUUUUGGUGUUUUAGACAUGAAGUCCUUGCCCAUGCCUAUGUCCUGAAUGGUAAUUGCCUAGGAUUUCUUCUAGGGUUUUUAUGGUUUUAGGUCUAAUAUUUAAGUCUUUAAUCCACCUUGAAUUAAUUUUUGUAUAAGGUGUAAGGAAGGGAUCCAGUUUCAGCUUUCUAUAUAUGGCUAGCCAGUUUUCCCAGCACCAUUUAUUAAAUAGGGAAUCCUUCCUCCAUUUCUUGUUUUUGUCAGGUUUGUCAAAGAUCAGAUGGUUGUAGACGUGUGGUAUUAUUUCUGAGGGCUCUGUUCUAUUCCAUUGGUCUAUAUCUCUGUUUUGGUACCAGUACCAUGCUGUUUUGGUUACUGUGGCCUUACAGUAUAGUUUGAAGUCAGGUAGCAUGAUGCCUCCAGCUUUGUUCUUUUGGCUUAGGAUUGUCUUGGCAACACAGGCUCUUCUUUGGUUUCAUAUGAACUUUAAAGUAGUUUUUUCCAAUUCUGUGAAAAAAGUCAUUGGUAGCUUGAUGGGGAUGGCAUUGAAUCUGUAAAUUACCUUGGGCAGUAUGGCCAUUUUCACAAUAUUGAUUCUUCCUACCCAUGAGCAUGGAAUGUUCUUCCAUUUGUUUGUGUCCUCUUCUAUUUCGUUGAACAGUGGUUUGUAGUUCUCCUUGAAGAGGUCCUUCACAUCCCUUGUAAGUUGGAUUCCUAGGUAUUUUAUUCUUUUUGAAGCAACUGUGAAUGGGAGUUCACUCAUGAUUUGGCUCUCUGUUUGUCUGUUAUUGGUGUAUAAGAAUGCUUGUGACUUUUGUACAUUGAUUUUGUAUCCUGAGACUUUGCUGAAGUUGCUUAUCAGCUUAAGGAUAUUUUGGGCUGAGAUGAUGGGGUUUUCUAGAUAUACAAUCAUGUCAUCUGCAAACAGGGACAAUUUGACUUCCUCUUUUCCUAUUUGAAUACCCUUUAUUUCUUUCUCCUGCCUGAUUGCCCUGGCCAGAACUUCCAAUAGUAUGUUGAAUAGGAGUGGUGAGAGAGGGCAUCCUUGUCUUGUGCCGGUUUUCAAAGGGAAUGCUUCCAGUUUUUGGCCAUUCAGUAUGAUAUUGGCUGUGGGUUUGUCAUAAAUAGCUCUUAUUAUUUCGAGAUAUGUCCCAUCAAUACCUAAUUUAUUGAGAGUUUUUAGCAUGAAGCGCUGCUGAAUUUUGUCGAAGGCCUUUUCUGCAUCUAUUGAGAUAAUCAUGUGGUUUUUGUCUUUGGUUCUGUUUAUGUGAUGGAUUACGUUUAUUGAUUUGCACAUGUUCAACCAGCCUUGCAUCCCAGGGAUGAAGCCCACUUGAUCAUGGUGGAUAAGCUUUUGAUGUGCUACUGGAUUUGGUUUGCCAGUAUUUUAUUGAGGAUUUUUGCAUCGAUGUUCAUCAGGGAUAUGUCUAAAAUUCUCUUUUUUUGUUGUGUCUCUGCCAGGCUUUUGUAUCAGGAUGAUGCUGGCCUCAUAAAAUGAGUUACGGAGGAUUCCCUCUUUUUCUGUUGAUUGGAGUAGUUUCAGAAGGAAUGGUACCAGGUCCUCCUUGUACCUCUGGUAGAAUUUGGCUGUGAAUCCGUCUGGUUCUGGACUUUUUUUGAUUAGUAGGCUAUUAAUUAUUGCCUCAACUUCAGAGCCUGUUAUUGGUCUAUUCAGAGAUUCAACUUCUUCCUGGUUUAGUCUUGGGAGGGUGUAUGUGUCCAGGAAUUUAUCCGUUUCUUCUGGAUUUUCUAGUUUAUUUGUGUAGAGGUGUUCAUAGUAUUCUCUGAUGGUAGUUUGUAUUUCUGUGGGAUCAGUGGUGAUAACCCCUUUAUCAUUUUUUUAUUGCGUCUAUUUGAUUCUUCUCUCUUUUCUUCUUUAUUAGAAAUGUCGGGUUACCUACAAAGGGAAGCCCAGCAGACUAACAGUGGAUCUCUCAGCAGAAACUCUACAAGCCAGAAGAGAGUGAGGGCCAAUAUUCAACAUUCUUAAAGAAUUUUCAAUCCAGAAUUUCCUAUGCAGCCAAACUAAGCUUCAUAAGUGAAGGAGAAAUAAAAUCCUUUACAGAUGAGCAAAUGCUGAGAGAUUUUGUCACCACCAGGCCUGCCAUAAAAGAGCUCCUGAAGGAAGUACUAAACAUGGAAAGGAACAACUGGUACCAGCCACUGCAAAAACAUGCCAAAUUGUAAAGAUCAUCGAUGCUAGGAAGAAACCGCAUCAACUAACAAGCAAAAUAACCAGCUAACAUCAUAAUGACAGGGUCAAAUUCACACAUAACAAUAUUAACCUUAAAUGUAAAUGUGCUAAUUGCUCUAAUUAAAAGACACAGACUAGCAAAUUGGAUAAAAAGUCAAGACCCAUCAGUGUGCUGUAUUCAGGAGACCCAUCUCACGUGCAGAGGCACACAUAGGCUCAAAAUAAAGGGAUGGAGGAAGAUCUACCAAGCAAAUGGAAAACAAAAAAAAGCAGGGGGUGCAAUCCUAGUCUCUGAUAAAACAGAUUUUAAACCAACAAAGAUCAAAAGAGACAAAAAAGGCCAUUACAUAAUAGUAAAGGGAUCAAUUCAACAAGAAGAGCUAACUAUCCUAAAUAUAUAUGAACCCAAUACAGGAGCACCCAGAUUCAUAAAGGAAGUCCUUAGAGACCUACAAAGAGACUUAGACUCCCACACAAUAAUAAUGGGAUACUUUAACACCCCACUGUCAACAUUAGACAGAUCAAUGAGACAGAAAGUUAACAAGGAUAUCUAGGAAUUGAACUCAGCUCUGCACCAAGCAGACCUAAUAGAUAUCUACAGAACUCUCCACCUCAAAUCAACAGAAUAUACAUUCUUCUCAGCACCACAUCACACUUAUUCCAAAAUUGACCACAUAGUUGGAAGUAAAGCACUCCUCAGCAAAUGUAAAAGAACAGAAAUUAUAACAAACUGUCUCUCAGACCACAGUGCAAUCAAACUAGGACUCAGGAUUAAGAAACCCACUCAAAACCGCUCAACUACAUGGAAACUGAACAACCUGCUCCUGAAUGACUACUGGGUACAUAAUGAAAUGAAGGCAGAAAUAAAGAUGUUCUUUGAAACCAGUGAGAACAAAGACACAACAUACCAGAAUCUCUGGGACACAUUUAAAGCAGUGUGUAGAGGGAAAUUUAUAGCACUAAAUUUAUAGCCCAUAAGAGAAAGCAGGAAAGAUCUAAAAUUGAUACCCUAACAUUACAAUUAAAAGAACUAGAGAAGCAAGAGCAAACACAUUCAAAAGCUAGCAGAAGGCAAGAAAUAACUAAGAUCACAGCAGAACUGAAGGAGAUAGAGACACAAAAAACCCUUCAAAAAAUCAAUGAAUCCAGGAGCUGGUUUUUUGAAAAGAUCAACAAAAUUGAUAGACCGCUGGCAAGACUAAACCUGACUUUUUUUUUUUUAAGGUUUUUUUUUUUUUUUAAAUUUAUUUUUUUAUUGAUAAUUCUUGGGUGUUUCUCACAGAGGGGGAUUUGGCAGGGUCAUGGGACAAUAGUGGAGGGAAGGUCAGCAGAUAAACAAGUGAACAAAGGUCUCUGGUUUUCCUAGGCAGAGGACCCUGCGGCCUUCCGCAGUGUUUGUGUCCCUGAUUACUUGAGAUUGGGGAGUGGUGAUGACUCUUAACGAGCAUGCUGCCUUCAAGCAUCUGUUUAACAAAGCACAUCUUGCACCGCCCUUAAUCCAUUUAACCCUGAGUGGACACAGCACAUGUUUCAGAGAGCACAGGGUUGGGGGUAAGGUCACAGAUCAACAGGAUCCCAAGGCAGAAAAAUUUUUCUUAGUGCAGAACAAAAUGAAAAGUCUCCCAUGUCUACUUCUUUCUACACAGACACGGCAACCAUCCGAUUUCUCAAUCUUUUCCCCACCUUUCCCGCCUUUCUAUUCCACAAAGCCGCCAUUGUCACCCUGGCCCGUUCUCAAUGAGCUGUUGGGCACACCUCCCAGACGGGGUGGUGGCCGGGCUGAGGGGCUCCUCACUUCCCAGUAGGGGCGGCCGGGCAGAGGCGCCCCUCACCUCCCAGACGGGGCAGCUGGCCGGGCGGGGGGCUGACCCCCCGACCUCCCUCCCCGACGGGGCGGCUGGCCGGGCUAAACCUGACUUUUUAAUCAUUUCUUUUUCUCUGGAAUCAGGAGGCUUAUCUCUCAUUGAAUUUUUUUUUUUUUUUUUUUUUUUUUUUGAGAUGGGGUUUUGCUCUUGUCAUCUAGGAUGGAGUGCAAUGGCGUGAUCUUGGGUCACUGCAACCUCCGCCUCCCAGGUUCAAGCAUUCUCCUGUCUCAGCCUCCCAGGUAGCUGGGAUUACCAGCGUGCACCACCACACCCAGCUAAUUGUAUUUCUAGUAGAGACAGGGUUUCACCGUGUUGGCCAGACUGGUCUUGAAUUCCUGACCUCAAGUGAUCUGCCCACCUCAGCCUCCCAAAGUGCUUGGAUUACAGGUGUGAGCCACUGCACCUGGCCUUACUGACUUCUUUAUAUGAUUCAGUCAGAGUUUGAGGGGCCCAUUACUGAUCUUCAGCUGGUGUAUCUUAUUCUGGAAACAUGAACAGAAAUUAAUAAGUAAGGCACUUAAAUCAAGCCAGAUAGUUUUGACCAAAAUAAGAUGUUUUAAAACACAUUAUUAGCCAAAAAUAUACCUUCUACUUGAAUAACAAAGAGGUCAGAAUAACUUCUGUUUUUCUUUUCCAAAGAGCAAAAAAUCAACAGUAUUAAAUAGAGAAAAUUCCUGUACAUCAGCUGACACCUAUGAAUGCUUCUUCAUUCCAGUUCUUUGGUUAGAUAACACAAAAAGAACAUUAAGAAAGGUCUUAUAAAAAGACAAAUUCCUAGUCGGGAAGGAAGUCACACAUGUGACCUUCUCUUGCUAAUAUUCCAGAAGGCUUUUUGUUAAAUGAGUGAGGGCUCUUUGUUACAAACUGCAGAAAGUGACUCCAGAAUAAGAACUUGUUGGAAAACUACCAGGUGACUCAAAGAAUAAUCUGGAGGGCUGGAGAAUCAGGCUGGGAAAAUAGCCAGAAGUCAAGGAUAGAUAUCAGGAACCACAGCCAAAGACAUAUCAUCUCUGGAGCAGAUAGUGAAGACAUCCUGCUGCCCUGCAGCCUCAGUCUCCAAAUGCCACCACCAUGAACAAAUCCUAAACAGUCUUAGAUGUUUACAUCACCAGCUCAGGAUUCAAAGACUUGAGAAAGCAUAUCUGAUUGCUAAGCCUUGACCAUGUGUCUGCACCCUAGCCUCUAGGGGACUGGAAGAGGAAAAUAUGACCUUUUUUCAGCUUCCAUACCGGCAAGCAAGACUCAAUACAAUGGGAUGAUUUGUCAAACAGUAAGGAGUUUUACAUGCUAGACGACCAAAAGAAUGACAAUUAUGCAUUCCUAUAUUGCUGAUUUGCACGAAGGCACUGAAAUGAGAAAAAAAAAAAACUUUUUGGAAGAGUCAUGCCCAAUUCUAGGUUGCUCCCCAUCAAAUUCUCUUCUACCUUUUAAAAAUAUUUCCAGUUUAUCUUACCUGCAGUCUUCCUACCCUUACUCUGUCUCUAUUCUGCUCCCCUCCAUGACCAUACCCAAACAUAUACACUUCUGGAACAUGUUUAGAUUUGACUAUGGCAGGGGAGUUUGGAGGGUGGGAGGUGUCCAGGCUAUAACAUCUUCAGCAUGGCUUCUAGAUUUCAUUCAGAUCUGCUCAGAUUUAAAAUGAUUACACACACAGUACUCAUCAUUUUGCCACAUACACCGCCUUCCUAUUCUCAAGAACCUUACCCACCUGUGACCACAGCUAAAUCUCCAGGCGUUGUUCAGCCUUGUCAGGCUCCUUCCAACAUCCUGAUGUUCUGUUCCCCCUUGUCUCCAUGCUGACCUGUUCUGAACCUCUGGGCUUGGAUUCCUGCUCCUGUCCACUAUGCAUACAUCACAGACUCUUCAUAAGGGAGGUAUAGUUACAUUCCAAUAUGUGGUGAAGGGAGCCUGCAGGCAGAGCCACACAUGUGGUUGCUGAGGGAAUGGGCACAUAAAAAGAAGCCCCUCUUCAACAAUCUUCUUCAAAUAGUUCACAGUCUCACCACUGGCCAUCCAAAAGCACAUUUAGCAUUCAUGUCUUCAACGUCUUUCUAUCACGGUCUUAACAAGCAUACUGUUGACCAGGCAGGGUCGUUCACGCCUGUAAUCCCGGCACUUUGGGAGACCAAGGUGGGCAGAUUGCUUGAGCUCAGGAGUUUGAGACCACCCUGGGCAACAUGGAGAAAUCCCAUCUCCACAAAAAAAAUACAAAAAAGUUAGUCAGGUGUGGUGGACGUGCCUGUAGUCCCAGCUACUUGGGAGGCUGAAGCAUGAGAGUUGCUUGAACCCAGGAGGCAGAUGUUGCAGUGAGCUGAGAUCAUGCCACUGCACUCCAGGCUGCGUGACAGAGCGAGACCCUGUCUCAAAAACAAAAAAACAAACAAAAAAAACCCACAGAAAAUAAACAAGUGUACUGUCAAUUCACUGUUAAAAACCUGUAAAAAAGACACCCGAAAAAAAGUUUCAGAAAAUAUGUUUCAUCCACCCCUUUGCACCUCUACCAAAUUCUAUUCUUUUUCUGACUUCCUUCCUUCCUGUUUCCCUGGCCUUUUUAUUUCUUAUUCUUUUCAAGUCUUUCUAACCUACUGCCCUGGGUGCCAUGUCCUUAGACCUCUGCCCAGAUUUCACUUCCCUUGACCUACGUUUUUCUUACAACUUUAUUAAUACAUAGUUGAAGUACAAUAAUCUGUACAUAUUUGAAGUAUGCAAUUUGAUCUGUUUUGAUAUACGUGUUAUAUUGAUUUUCCAUUGCCUUAUAACAAUUUACCACAAACAUUAUGGCGUAAAAUAACAUUUAUUAUCUCACCUCACAGUUUUGUGGUCAGGAAUCCAGGCAUGGCCUGACUGGGGCUUCUAUUCAGAAUCUCACGAGGCAGCAGUCAGGAUGUUUGCUGGGCUGCACUCUCAUCUGGUGGCUGAGUGAAGAAGAAUAUGCGUCCAAAUUCAUUCAAGUUGGCAGAAAGCAUUUCCUUGUGGAUGUAUGAUUGAAGGCCCUGACUUCUUUUUUUUUUUUUUUUUUUUUGAGAUGGAGUCUCGCUCUGUCGCCCAGGCUGGAGUGCAGUGGCAUGAUCUCGGCUCACUGCAGGCUCCGCCUCCUGGGUUCAUGCCAUUCUCCUGCCUCUCAGCCUCCUGAGUAGCUGGGACUACAAGUGCCUGCCAACACGCUUGGCUAAUUUUUAUAUUUUUAGUAGAGAUGGGGUUUCACCGUGUUAGCCAGGAUGGCCUCGAUCUCCUGACCUCGUGAUCCACCCUGCUUGGCCUCCCAAAGUGCUGGGAUUACAGGCGUGAGCCACCGCGCCUGGCCUUGGAGGCCCUGACUUCUUGCUAGCUGUUGGCUGGAGGUCACUCUUAGGUUUUAGAGGCCACCCACUGUUCUUAGAGGCCAUCCUCCUUAUUCUCUGGGUUUUCCAACACGAUCACUUCAUCAGGCACACAAGGAAAGUCUUUAAAUGCAGUCCACUAAGAUGGAGUUUUAAAUACUGUAAUAUCAUUACAACAGUAACAGUUGAUCACUUUUGCUAUAUUGUAUUGGUUAGAAGCCAAUCACAGUUCCCACAUACAAAGAGAGGGGAUUACCCAAAGGGGUGAACACCAGGAGGCAGAGAUCAUUGUGUCAUUAUAGGUUUUGUCUGCCACAUAUAUACACCAUGAAACCAUCACUACAAUAAAGAUAAAAAUUUUAAUUACCUCCAAAAGUUUUGCUGUGCCCUUUGGCAAUCCACCCUUCCUCUACCCUGUCCCUAGGUAACCACUGACCCAUUUUUCUAUCACCAUAGAUUAUUUUUCAUUCUCUAGAAUUAUAUAUAAAUACAGUUAUACAGCAUGUACUCUUUUUGUCUGGCUUCUUUCACUCAGCAUAAUUAUUCUGAGAUUCAACCAUGUUGUUGUGUGUAUCCAUAGUUCAUUCCUUUCUGUUGCUGAGCAGCAUUCCAUUGUAUGAAUAUAUCACAGUUGUUUAUCCAUUCAUCUGCUGUUGGACAUUGGAGUUGUUUCAACUUUGGGAUAUUACAAGUCAAGCUGCUAUGAAUAUUUAUGUGCAAGUUUUCAUAUGAACAUAUGUUUUCAUUUCUUUUGAAUAAAUACCUAGGAGUGAAGUGGCUGGUUCCUCUAGUAGGUGUAUAUUUAAUUUUUAAGUAAACUGCCAGAGUCUCGUAUCAUUUUACAUUUCCACCAGUAGGGUAUGGGAGCUCUAUGUUUUUGCCAGCAUUGGUAUGAUCAGCCUUUAUAAUUUUAACUCAUGAAAUAAGUAUAAAGUGGUAUGUCUUUGUGGUUUUAAUUUGCAUUUCUCUGAUGGCUAAUGAUGCUGAGCAUUUUUUCAUGUAUUUAUUUCCCAUUAAUAUAUCUUUUCUGAACUGUCUGUUCAAUGCUUUUGUCAUUUUAAAAUGGAUUUUGUCUUAUUAAUAUUGAGCUGUAAGAAUUCCUUGCACAUAUUGGGUACAAGUUCUUUGUCUGAAAUAUGAUACAAUAUCAAAGAUGGCUCUUCACAAUGUCAUAGGUGCUAAAAAUGGACCAUCCAAGGUUGCUUCUUCAUUUACAGGUCUGGAAUCCAACCUGAGUGGGCUGGAGGAGCUAAGCCUGGAGAGGCAUGUCUUUCUUCACAGCUUCUGAAUUGCAGCUAGCAUAGACUUCCUCACUGCAUGGUGAUCUAAGAGUACUUGGUCUUUUCACACAGUGUUUGAAUUCACCUUGAGCAAGUUUUCAAGAGACCAAGGCAGACGCUAUAGGCUUUUUAUGAUCUAGCUUUGAGAGUCCCAGACAUCACCACUGUUUCAUUCUAUUGAUUAAAAGUCAAGGUGAGUGCUGCUGGCAAGAUGGCCGAAUAGGAACAGCUCUGGUCUGCAGCUCCCAGCGAGAUCAACACAGAAGGCAGGUGAUUUCUGCAUUUCCAACUGAGGUACUCAUCUCAUCUCAUUGGGACUGGUUAGACAGUGGGUGCAUCCUACAGAGGGCAAGCCCAAGCAGGAUGAGGCAUUGCCUCACCUGGGAAGUCCAAGAGGUCUGGGAACUCCCUCCCUUAGCCAAGGGAAGCCCUGAGGGAUUGUGCCUUGAGGAAUAGUGUAUUUUAGCCCAGAUAUUACGCUUUUCCUAAUAGACCUAUUAGCGGACCAAAUAGACAUCUACAGAACUCUCCACCCCAAAUCAACAGAAUACACAUUGUUCUCAGCACCAUGCCACACUUAUUCUAAAAUCAACCACAUAAUUGGAAGUAAAACAUUCCUCAGCUAAUGCAAAAUAACAGAAAUCAUAAUGAACAGUCUCUCAGAACACAGUGCAAUCAAAUUAGAACUCAGGAUUAAGAAACUCACUGAAAACCUCACAACUGCAAGGAAACUGUACAACCUGCUCCCGAAUGACUACUGGGUAAAUAACGAAAUCAAGGCAGAAAUAAAUAAGUUCUUUGAAACCAAUGAGAACAAAGACACAAUGUACCAGAAUCUCUGGGACACAGCUAAAGCAGUGUUUAGAGGGAAAUUUAUAGCAUUAAAUGCCCACAGGAGAAAGCAGGAAAGAUCUAAACUGAUACCCUAACAUCACUAUGAAAAGAACUAGAGAAGCAAGAGCAAACAAAUUCAAAAGCUAGCAGAAGAAAAUAAAUAACUAAGAGCAGAGCAGAACUGAAAGAGACGGAGACAUGAAAAACCCUUCAAAAAUUAAUGAAUCCAGGAGCGGUUUUUUGAAAAGAUCAACAAAAUAGAUAGAUUGCAAGCCAGACUAAUAAAGAAUAAAAGAGAGAAGAAUCAAAUCAACACAAUAAAAAAUGAUAAAGGGGAUAUCACCACUGAUCCCACAGGAAUACAAACUACUAUCAGAGAAUACUAUAAACACCUCUACAUAAAUAAACUAGAAAAUCUAGAAGAAAUGGAUAAAUUCCUGGACACAUACACCCUCCCAAGACUAAACCAAGAAGAAGUUGAAUCCCCGAAUAGACCAAUAACAAGUUCUGAAAUUGAGGCUGUAAUUAAUAGCCUACCAACCAAAAAAAGCCCAGGAACAGAUGGAUUCACAGCCGAAUUCUACCAGAGGUAUAAAGGUACCAGAGGUACCAGAGAUACCAAGAGGAGCUGGUACCAUUCCUUCUGAAACUAUUCCAAAUAAUAGAAAAAGAGGGAAUCCUUCCUAACCCAGUUUAUGAGGCCAGCAUCAUCCUGAUACCAAAAACUGGCAGAGACACAACAAAAAAAGAAAAUUUCAGUCCAAUAUCCGUGAUGAACAUUGAUGCGAAAAUCCUCAAUAAAUACUGGCAAACAGAAUCCAGCAGCACAUCAAAAAGCUUAUCCACCAGGAUCAAGUCAGCUUCAUCCCUGGCAUGCAAGGCUGGUUCAACAUACACAAAUUGAUAAACAUAAUCCAUCACAUAAAUGGAACCAAUGACAAAAAAACACAUUAUUAUCUCAAUAGAUGUAGAAAAGGCCUUUGACAAAAUUCAACACCCCUUCAUGCUAAAAACUCUCAGUAAACUAGGUAUUGAUGGAAUGUACCUGAAAAUAAUAAGAGCUAUUUAUGACAAACCCACAGCCAAUAUCAUACUGAAUGGGCAAAAGCUGGAAGCAUUCCCUUUGAAAACUGGCACAAGACAAGGAUGCCCUCUCUCACCACUCCUAUUCAACAUACUAUUGGAAGUUCUGGCCAAGGCAAUCAGGCAAGAGAAAGAAAUAAAGCGUAUUCAAAUAGGAAGAGAGAAAGUCAAAUUGUCUCUGUUUGCAGAUUACAUGAUUGUAUAUUUAGAAAACGCCAUUGUCUCAGCCCAAAAUCUCCUUAAGCUGAUAAGCAACUUCAGCAAAGUCUCAGGAUACAAAAUCAAUAUGCAAAAAUCACAAGCAUUCCUAUACACCAAAUAAUAGACAAACAGAGAGCCAAAUCAUGAGUGAACUCCCAUUCACAAUUGCUAUAAAGAGAAUAAAAUACCUAGGAAUACAACUUACAAGGGAUGUGAGGGACCCCUUCAGGGAGAACUAUGAACCACCGCUCAAGGAAAUAAGAGAGAACACAAACAAAUAGCAAAACAUUCCAUGCUCAUGGAGAGGAAGAAUCAAUAUCAUGAAAAUGGCCAUACUGCCCAAAGUAAUUUAUAGAUUCAAUGUUAUCCCCAUCAAGCUGUCAUUGACUUUCUUCACAGAAUUAGAAAAAAACUACUUUAAAUUUCAUAUGGAACGAAAAAAGAGCCCACAUAGCCAAGACAAUCCUAAGCAAAAAGAACAAAGCUGGAGGCAUCACGCUGCCUGACUUCAACGUAUACUACAGGGAUACAGUAACCAAAACAGCAUGGUACUGGUACCAAAACAGAUAUAUAGACCAAUGGAACAGAACAGAGGCCUCAUAAAUAACACCACACAUCUACAACCAUCUGAUCUUCAACAAACCUGACAAAAACAAGAAAUGGCGAAAGGAUUACCUAUUUAAUAAAUGGUGUUGGGAAAACUGGCUAGCCAUAUGCAGAAAACUGAAACUGGACCCCUUCCUCAUACCUUAUACAAAAAUUAACUCAACAUGGAUUGAAGAUGUAAACAUAAGACCUAAAACCAUAAAAACCCUAGAAGAAAACCUAGGCAAUACCAUUCAGGACAUAGGCAUGGGCAAAGACUUCAUGACUAAAACACCAAAAGCAAUGGCAACAAAAGUCAAAAUAGACAAAUGGGAUCUAAUUAAACUAAAGAGCUUCUGCACAGCAAAAGAAACUAUCAUCAGAUGAACAGGCAACCUACAGAAUGGGAGAAAAUUUUUGCAAUCUAUCCAUCUGACAAAGGGCUAAUAUCCAAAAUCUACAAAUAACUUAAACAAAUUUACAAGAAACAAAUCAAACAACCCCAUCAAAAAGUGGGUGAAGGAUAUGAUCAGACACUUCUCAAAAGAAGACAUUUAUGCAGCCACCAAAUAUAUGAAGAAAGGCUCAUUAUCACUGGUCAUUAGAGAAAUGCAAAUCAAAACCAAAUGAGAUACCAUCUCACGCCAGUUAGAAUGGCAAUCAUUACAAAGUCAGGAAACAACAGAUGCUGGAGAGGAUGUGGAGAAAUAUGAACGCUUUUACAUUGUUGGUGGGAGUGUAAAUUAGUUCAACCAUUGUGGAAGAAAGUGUGGCAAUUCCGCAAGGAUCUAGAGCCAGAAAUACCAUUUGACCCAGCAAUCCCAUUACUGGGUAUAUAUCCAAAGGAUUAUAAAUCAUUCUACUAUAAAGACAAUGCACAUGCAUGUUUAUUGCAGCACUAUUCACAAUGGCAAAUACUUAGAACCAACUCAAAUGCCCAUCAAUGAUAGACUGGAUAAAGAAACUGUGGCACAUAUAGAACUAUGGAAUACUAUGCAGCCAUAAAAAAGGAUGAGUUCAUGUCCUUUGCAGGGACAUGGAUGAAGCUGGAAAUCAUCAUUCUCAGCAAACUAACACAAGAACAGAAAACCAAACACCUCAUGUUCUCACUCAUAAGUGGGAGUUGAACAAUGAGAACACUUGGACACAGGGAAGGGAACAUCACACAAUGGGGCCUGUCAGUGGGUGGGGGUCUAUGGGAGAUAUGGCAUUAAGAGAAAUACCUAAUGUAGAUGGUGGGUUGAUGGGUGCAGCAAACCACCAUGGCACGUAUAUACCUAGGUAACAAACCUGCAAGUAUCCCAGAACUUAAAGUAUUAAAAAAAAAAAAAAGUCAAGGUGAAAGGAAUUAUACAUCAUCCAUAAUCUCUCAAUGGGAAGUAUAACAAAGAACUUAAUGGCCAUUAAAUCUCCUACAUAUAGUAUAAUCAGGGACCUCUACAUUAGUGCAAGCUGCCAACUUAUUCCUCAAUCAAACUCAUUGACAUAUUUAAAUGACACAUUUCUAGAACUGAUAGUUUUCGAAGUGCAUGCAUAUAUUUUAUUGUAUGUAACUCUCAUAAGAAUGUUUGAUUUAGGCAGGCAGAUAUUAAUAUCCCCACCUUAAAGAAGUUGCUGAGGCCCGGUGACACUGGUCAUUUGUCCAAGAAAAAGACUCUAGAACUCAAGAUCCUUUGCAUCUAGUGCAGUGCUUUCUCCACGAUGUCAUGCUGUUUUCACUUUAGCACACAAAUCCUUCUAAUUAAAUAAGCCCUUUCUUUCUGAGAAAUAUACUAGAACCAAAAGUUCUGUGGUUGGAAGGAAUGAAAAUGAAUGAAUGAACUUAAAAUUUCACCUCUGUUCACUGGCAUUAUUAUUCAGUUGAUUAAAAUUUUAUUUAUGGACACAAAAAUGACAGUCCACUCUUAAUGAGAAAAUCUUCACAGAACCCUAAGUAUGUGAAUACACACACAUACACAAACAUAUAUAUUUUGCACACAUACAAUUGUUAGUAUAUGCACAAAAAGAUCAUCUGUGGGCUAUAUUACUGUUAAGUGUUAUAUCUUAAAGAUUCUGGGCCAGGCGUGGUGGCUCAUGCCUAUAAUCCUAGCACUUUGGGAGGCUGAGGCAGGUGGAUCGUUUGAGGUGAGGAGUUCAACACCAGCCUCACCAACAUGGUGAAACCCCAUCUCACAAAAAUUAGCCAGGCAGUAGUGGUUGUGCCUGUAAUCCCAGCUACUCGGGAGGCUGAGGCAGGAGAAUCGCUUGAGCCCAGGAGGCGGAGGUUGCAGUGAGCCGAGAUCAUGCCACUGCACUCCAGCCUGGGUGACAGAGUGAGACCCUGUCUCAAACAGAUUCUGUAUUGUUUGAAUUUGAGUAUAUAUUAUUCUGGAAAUGAUAAUAAAAAAGAUUUAAAAACUCUUCAGUCCUUUCAGAAAUACAUGAUAAUGAUCAGACUUGAGGCACUGUCACAACUUUUAUAGUUCUGAGUAGAGUAUAAGUAUUGUUGUCCCUUGGUAAUGCAGGAGACUCGUUCCAAGACCCCCAGGGAUACCCACACCCACACAUACUCAAGUCCUGCAGUCCACCAUUUGGAACUCACAGAUAUAAAAAGUCGGUCCUCUGCAUAAGUGGGUUUCGCAUCCCAUGGAUACUGCAUUAUUGAUGUGUGUUUGAUUGAAAAACAUCCACAUAUAACUGAACCUGUGCAGAUCAAAACUGUGUUGUUCAAGUGUCAGCUGUAUAAACAAAUGAACAAACAGAACUUCAGAUAGUAUCACAGUAAGGACAGAAACUCUACAUUGGAUUUGUUCCCCAAAGAGAGGCUACUGUGAAACUACGUUUUCAGUAAUCAGCAUUGAGACAUUUAUUUAUUUAUUUAUUUAUUUAUUUUUUCAAGGCAGCAGUAUUUGAAAUAGUGAGAAACUUAAAACAACUUUCCAGCCAGUAGGCAAAAAAUAACUAUUAUCCCAUGAUUUAUAAGACCAAUUAGAUCUAUAUUAACCAUCACAGAUAAAUCUUUAAAACAUGCUAAAUGAGUAAAGCAAGUUCAAAAAGUAUAAAACAGAAUAUUAUAACAAAUACAUUUUUACACAAUCUAAAACUAAAAUAUAUAUUAUAAUAAGGCAUACAUGUAAGUAUUAAAAGUAAAGUAGAAAAACAUUCACAAAAAUGAUAAAUAUCAACUUCAGGAUAAUGUUAAGGGGAUUAAGAGACGGGGAAAGCAUAGAAUAUAAAGCUUUAUUUUAUUUCUUUAAAAAAAAAGUUCAAGAUCUCAAACAAAUACAGGAAGAUGCUAUCUUCCAUUUAUUAUCUCCAUGGUGGAUAUAGAACUAUCUUUUACUUUAUGUUAGAAAUGUUUCGUAGUUUUAAUGUUUACAUUUUUUAAAAAGUUGAUCCUGCCAGGUUGUCUUCCAUGAAUAGACAUUUUUCAACAAGAAAGACAGAAUAUGCAGCACUCAUGUGUCCUUGAAAAAGCAACUACCCCAUGAUGAAAACAAGACAACUAAAAACUCAAUCAGAACAAAAACCACAGAAAUAGAAAAGCCAUGGAAAAGAUAUGAUGGUAAGCACUGAAUCCAUUUAAAUAUAGAACUAAGGCUAAACAUAGAGCUAGACUAACUUCUGGUAAACAGAAAGCAAAUAUUAUAUGCCCUGAAAAAGCGAAAAUACAAACAACAUAAAAUUCAGAACUGAAGAAAGAGAUGACAGAACAUAUGAAUAGCACUCAACUUCAUCAUUCACAGUAGGGAUUUCAUAUCUAAUAUCUAAAUUUUAAACAAGCAGUUUUAAAAAAUACUCUGAUUUCUUACUGUUUUUUAUAAACUAUUUUCCUAAUUUUAGUGAAAUCUUACAGAACCUAAGAGUUCUGUGGCAAAGAAACCUUUACCUAGAGUUCAGCAUUUACCUAGAGUUUAAGAUAUUUUCCCUUGUUAUUAAAUUCAAACAAAAUCAUAAUUUAAACUUUUAUUUUUUAAAAUAGCGUACUCUCAUAAUUAUGAAAUUAUUCCUGUCUGUCUAUAUAUAAGCAUGAAUAAGAUGAUGUUCACCAAAUGUUAACAUAGGUUAUUACUGCUUGGUAGAGAAAUUUAUUUUUAAAUAAAACAAUAGGCCAGGCGCGGUGGCUCAUGCCUGUAAUCCCAGCACUUUGGAAGACCAAGGCGUGACUUAAGGUCACUUAAGGUGACCUUAAGGUCAGGAGUUUGAGACCAGUCUGGCCAACAUGGCGAAAUCUCGUCUCUACUCAAAAAUACAAAAAUUAGCAGGGUGUGGUAGCACGUGCCUGUAAUCCCAGCUACUAGGGAGGCUGAGGCAGGAGAAUUGCUUGAACCCGGGGGGGCGGAGGUUGCAGUGAGCCGAGAUCGUGUCACUAUACUCCAGCCUGGGCAACAGUGAGAUGCUUCUCAAAAAAUAAUAAUAAAAUAAAAUAAUGAAUAAAUAAAUAAAUAAUACAAAAUAUUCUUUGAGUUAAACAUAAAUGACUUCCAGAAACUUACUUGUUUGGAACUCAAAAGAGAUAGGCAAUUCUUUCCAAAAUAAGAAGUGACAGUUUCUCACAGAUCUCAAAAGGCCAAUAAACAGUCAAGAAAAAAGUGAACCAACUUGAAUGAAUACAUACAUUCACACAUAUAAAUAUCACUUAAAAGGAAAGCAUUCCAGACUGACAUUAAGUUACUUAAAAAUUCUAAACCAAAAAGGUGGCCUCACUAGGUCCUAAACUAGUCGCAGGAGGAUCUGGGGGACUGGCAAAGCUAUGAGGCUGAACCAGUGUGAAAAAUGCUUUUCAGUAUGUGUUCAUUUUGAGAACAGAAUAAAGACCAAAGAGCAAAAUGCUAGGGUCUGAACAAGAAUGUCAUUUUUAGGACAGGUGCUCCAGAUAGGAGCAUCUUGGAUCCAGCCAGGAGCAGUGUUACCCAAAUGUCAAUAUUUGAAAUGUCAAUGGCCAGGACUGAGAACUAGUUAUUGUGGGGAGGUACCAAAGACAAACUGGAAAGAAGGACAGAAGACCAAAAAUAAUGACAACAGCUGCCAUUUGUCAAGUGCUAGCCAUGCUGGACGCUUUUCAUACAAUAUCUCACUCACAGCCCAUAGUCUACUUGCAAACAGGAUAUAAUAUAUUUUUCAGAUGACAACACAGACUCAGAAGGUUUACAUGGCAUGCCCAAAGCCACAAUGCUAGGAAGCAACAGAACCACAAUUCAAGUCCAGAUCCUUCUCACCACAAAGUCUGUGCUCUUUGCAGCAUGCCAAGCUGUAAAAUCCAAAGGAGUAAACACAAAUAUAUAAGAAUAGUAAAGUCAGGGGCCAGGAGACUCAAGAGAUGUGAGCCAAGGUGUCAGGUCAGUCAUCUCUACAUGUUGUGGACUUCUACCAACAGAGGCUGUCUCCUGGUGUGCCCCUUUCGUGUGCUAUCUGGUGAGUGCUGCAAGGUGGCAGCUUCUUCACAGAGUCAGGGGGCAGAUAAAAUUAAAAUGAACAUAAUAACUGUUUUAAAGGCGGUCAGGUCAGCUUUGCCAAGUGUCGUGUUUGAUGUAAGCAGCAGAGGGAAAUGGAAGAGAGAGGGUGACAGAGUCAAUGACUGAGUAAUAAAACAUUAGCCCAGGCUCUGUCUGGAUGCUCAUGAGAGCCUCUUCCCUAAGAUGAGGAUCACUCAGGAAGACAUGAUGAGAACCCAUGAAUCUAGCACCCACCACCGAGCAGGGAACAAAGUAAGAAAUGCCUUUCAAGAAGGAUGUCAUCAGUGGUGUCAAGUGCGAAAAAAAGAAUAAGCUAGAGGAAGACUGAGAUAAGGCCUGGAUUUGGCCUUGAGGAGGACACAGUUGGCUUUUGAGAGGGUAGAUCUGGGGCCUUAGAAGAGUGUGAAUCAAAUGACAGUGGCCUGAGGCAAGAGUGGAAAGUGCUGAAAUAGAAGCAGCAUGCGGUUUGACUUUGUCAAGAAGCCUGGUGGCCAGAAGUAGAUGGUGAGCAAGUCAGAGACAGGUGGUCAGUUUAGAGAAAUUGCAAGGGGAGUCAUAGGUUAGGGAGGAAGCGCUAGUCACAGGUUAGAGAGGGGUGAUUCUAGGAUGCAAGAGGAAGAAAUUGAUUUGUGGAGUAAGGACCCAGAUGGGUGAAGAGGGGACAGGAUACUGCCCAUUGACAGAAUCUUUUCUUAAAAGGGAAAGAGAAGAAAAGGAAGACUGAUGAUAAUACAGACAUUAGAAGGGAGUUUUAGGCAUUUCUUCUUGGUGGUUUGCGGAUUUAGUUUUUUACUAUUCCACAUGGCAUGAAGGAUAGACUUACUUCAGCAAGAAAAAGCAUGCAAUAGCAGGUAUAAGUUCAGGUUCCUAGAUUUGCCUCUUACUAACUCUGUGGCCUUCGACAACAUUUCUGAGCUUCACUUUCCUUGCCUUCAAAUCAGGAUGAUUAUACCUGUCCUGACUCCAAGGGGGUGCUAGAGUCUGCUCACACCAGCUCCCCUGAGCCAAUUGCUAAAUAUCUAGAAAUUCAGAGUUGUUAAAUCAUUGGUAGUAUGAAACUGGCACAAACCAGGGAUUCCCUCUCCCUUUUGAGUGCUUACCACAUCACUGCCUGAUUCCCUUACAAGGCACUGUCAGGCUGAAAUGAGAGGCUGGUUGUGAAAACACUUUGCAAAGAACCAAGCCCUGGAUAAAGGUAAGGGAUUUUUAUUAUUAAUAUUAACAAGUGUGACGGCAUGGUUUCCUAUGUAUUAACUUGAGUUUUAUUUUCUAUUCCCCACUGCCCACCUUUCCCAACAGGUAACUUUAGUAUUUCCUUGUCUCAGCAGUUUUUGCAGGGCAGAAGGCAAAGAUACUUGAAGGCAAUGGCUCCUCUAGUCUUAUUGAAGGACUUAUACUCACCAUAGAGAUCGUGUUAAGAGCAUGAGGGAAAAUGGGAUUAUCAAAAAGACUUCAAUAAGACAUUCAGAGGAAGAGAUUCCCUAUAGACAAGGAAGGG
This 20811-nucleotide long non-coding RNA is filed under the name Homo sapiens (human). RNAcentral describes it as "non-protein coding lnc-TIMM9-3:1". The record is from RNAcentral. Lineage: Eukaryota; Metazoa; Chordata; Mammalia; Primates; Hominidae.